RNAcentral lists this transfer RNA (72 nucleotides) under Pteropus alecto (black flying fox). It matches the Rfam family "tRNA". From Rfam's summary of the family: Transfer RNA (tRNA) molecules are approximately 80 nucleotides in length. Lineage: Eukaryota; Metazoa; Chordata; Mammalia; Chiroptera; Pteropodidae. The record is from Rfam by way of RNAcentral.
GCUCCAUAGUGUAGUGGUUAGCAUGUCUGCUUUACACACAGAAGGUCCUGGGUUCGUGUCCCAGGUGGAGCG